This 482-nucleotide ribosomal RNA is filed under the name uncultured bacterium. Its description in RNAcentral is "bacterial SSU rRNA". It matches the Rfam family "Bacterial small subunit ribosomal RNA", at positions 29 to 506 of the family's 1533-position model. The record is from RNAcentral.
UUGAACGCUGGCGGAAUGCUUUACACAUGCAAGUCGAGCGGCAGCGCGGGGGCAACCUUGGCGGCGAGCGGCGAACGGGUGAGUAACAUAUCGGAACGUACCCAGACGUGGGGGACAACUAGUCGAAAGACUAGCUAAUACCGCAUACGUCCUGAGGGAGAAAGCGGGGGAUCGCAAGACCUCGCGCGUUUGGAGCGGCCGAUAUCUGAUUAGCUAGAUGGUGGGGUAAAGGCUCACCAUGGCGACGAUCAGUAGCUGGUCUGAGAGGAUGAUCAGCCACACUGGAACUGAGACACGGUCCAGACUCCUACGGGAGGCAGCAGUGGGGAAUUUUGGACAAUGGGCGCAAGCCUGAUCCAGCCAUGCCGCGUGAGUGAAGAAGGCCUUCGGGUUGUAAAGCUCUUUCAGACGGAAAGAAAUCGGGCGCGUGAAUAGCGUGCCUGGAUGACGGUACUGUCAGAAGAAGCACCGGCUAACUACGU